RNAcentral lists this ribosomal RNA (569 nucleotides) under uncultured Lasiobolus. RNAcentral's name for it is "SSU rRNA". It matches the Rfam family "Eukaryotic small subunit ribosomal RNA", at positions 5 to 586 of the family's 1831-position model. The record is from RNAcentral. Lineage: Eukaryota; Fungi; Ascomycota; Pezizomycetes; Pezizales; Ascodesmidaceae.
UGGAUGAUGCUGCCAAUUGCAUAUGCUUGUCUCAAAUAUUAUGCAAUGCAUGUCUUGUAUAACCAAUCUAUACUGUGAAACUGCUAAUGGUUCAUUAAACCCCUUAUCGUUUAUUUGAUAGUACCUUACUACUUGGAUAACCGUGGUAAUUCUAGAGCUAAUACAUGCUAAAAAUCCCGACCUCUGGAAGGGAUGUAUUUAUUAGAUAAAAAACCAAUGCCUUCCGGCUCCUUGGUGAUUCAUGAUAACUUUACAAAUCUCAUGGCCUUGUGCCGGCGAUGGUUCAUUCAAAUUUCUGCCCUAUCAACUUUCGAUGGUAGGAUAGUGGCCUACCAUGGUUUCAACGGGUAACGGGGAAUUAGGGUUCUAUUCCGGAGAGGGAGCCUGAUAAACGGCUACCACAUCCAAGGAAGGCAGCAGGCGCGCAAAUUACCCAAUCCCGACACGGGGAGGUAGUGACAAUAAAUACUGAUACAGGGCCCUUUCGGGUCUUGUAAUCGGAAUGAGUACAAUUUAAAUCCCUUAACGAGGAACAAUUGGAGGGCAAGUCUGGUAAUCUUCAACCUGCC